Long non-coding RNA from Micropterus salmoides (largemouth bass), 3079 nucleotides. RefSeq lists it as uncharacterized. The transcript is spliced from 2 exons. NCBI's taxonomy places the organism in Eukaryota, Metazoa, Chordata, Actinopteri, Centrarchiformes, Centrarchidae. The record is from RefSeq and is a predicted model, not a curated record.
UGUAGGAAAAUCAGUGGGAGCUUGACUAUGAACGAACGUGUGUGAAGUUCAUGCAAAGUAGUAUGUAGUAAGUUGGUGUUUUAGACUGUCCACUCGACAGUCUUACCACAGAAUACCAUCCUGCGUACUUUUGUGAGAAGUUCCCGAAAUAUAUCGUACAGUUAUUCACGCGUGUAUCAUAGCUCGUUUGCAGACAGUGUUUUGUGUUAGCAUUCAUUAGCAAAGUGAAUGGACUCUUAGCCAGUAUAGCUAACUCAGCUGUAUACUGUUGGACUAGUUCACGGGUUUCGACGUGAAAACCCUGGAGAGUUAUCGGAAAGUUACAACUGCGAAGUCAAAGCUCCGAGUUCGUUAGAAAGAGGGACACCGACCACGCCAGUUUGGACGCACGCUCGCACCCCUAUUGACACCAGAGACCGAGAGACGACAGCGGCAGAGCGCGGGACAGACCACGCUUUCUUUGGACACCUGCUUGCCCUUGUUUUGCUGGAGACCGGGAAAGACUGUUGAACUCUGCACAGUGGACUGAACUGUUGCUUAAGCACACAGUGGGCCUCUGGAGAAGGUGAUCGUCUGGUUCCUCUCUCUGAGCUGUCAUGAGGAAAGCAUCGCUGCUGCUGCUGCUUCUGCUUCUGCUGCCUCCAGACUCCAGGCAGGGCAGGCUGCCACCAAGUUGAUAAAGUGAGCCAUUUUGCACACAGGCAAGAUUACUCUCAAGGACAGAGAUUAAAGUGGCUUCUGUUUGAGUUGUACCCCCCAACAAACACACACACAUACAGAGAACGAGAGAGAAAAGCGUGUGCAUUGAUACUGAUACCCUUUUAAAUUAAUUGUUUGCACAGUGAUCACAGCAUCAAAGCAUAAGAACAUACAGCUGCAAUAACAGUUUACAUGCUGGUGAAAAAAAGCCUUGCAUUAAAGAACUCGUUUGCAAAGAACACUGUGAAUUUAGCACCACCUGUGGCAGUUAGUGUGGUUACUGAGAGGAUAAUUUCAAUUUAUUGCAACUUGUGUCUUAUUGUGGGCCACAUUUAUCGUUUUGAUGUCACUGUACUCACCAAAGUAAAGAUAUGAAGUUGCAAGAAACAUGCGGAGUAAGAUGAUCAGAAAGGUCAUAAACAAGUACGCAGUUUAGCCAGAUUCUCACUUAAUUUGGAGGUGAAACUCAAAAUGAGUGCACCCAAAAUGAUGGUCAUUAUAACUGCAGCAUGGUAGGUCAACGUUAUAACCAAGAAAUAGAUGUGUAAACUGGGUGCAGGUCUUUACAGGCACUUUGGGUGAUUUUUACUGUUUGUCUUUGUUUUUUUCUUCCAAAUAAACUUGGCUUGGCUUUUAGCAAUGACUUUAAUGAGAUUCCCAUGUUAUCAAAUAACUUGGUGAGUGCAGUUUUAUUAUUACUGGAAGAAAUAAUGGCCCAAUCUAUGAAAAUUAGAUCCAAAUUGUAAUUAACCACAAUUACCAUUUAGAGCAGUAGUUUAACAUUUCGGGACAUACACUUCACUUUCUUGCCAAGAGUUAGAUGAGAAGAUUGAUACCACUCUCAAGUGCUGAAUUAGGCUAUAGCCAACAGCCACUUAGCUUAGCUUAGAAUAAAGACUGGAGGCAGGGGAAACUAGCUAGGCUUUGUUCGAAGUUAAAAAAAUCUGCCUACCAGCACCUGUAAAGCCCACUACUUACCACAUUAUUUCUUUUUUGUCUCAUACAUAAAAAAACUAAGAAACUAUAGUGAGAAGUAGUAUGGCACAAUAACCCAAGGCAAAACUGCUAUUUUUCAUUUUUACACUUCCUUUUUGGUAUAAAAAGAUUAUAAUAAAUUAGAUACGUUAAUUGUGAACAUUAGAGUUGCUGGAUUUUCUUCUGACAGACCCAAUCUAGCUGUUAUCCCCUGUUUCCAAUCUUUAUGCGAAGCUAAGCCAGCAGCCGGUUAGCUAAACUAACCUCUGCUUAAAGUUCCUGUGUUGGCAGUACAGUAUUUUCUCUACCAAAUCCAUUAACAAGUCUGCAAAUAAUGCUAUAUUGCUAUCUAAUAUUGGCCAAUGAACAUAGACACUAGCAUUUUGGAUGUGAAAAUGAAGCUGUCCAAAAAUGAUCAUGCCUCAGUGCAGUGAAAGGGAGACCACUGAGAUAGCUUAUAGCUUUAAUAGUGCUGUUUUUUUCAGUAGAGGGUUGGAAAGAUAAUUCAGUUAAACAAGCAAGAAAAUUUUAUUUGAAGUUGAUGCUAUCCUCCAGAUAGCAUCCUUUAGCAGCUAUCAAUUACAAGCAUGGAUUCCUAUAAAUUAAUACAUUUUUGUACUAAUAAAUCUGAGUUACUCUUGAAAACUCCUUUUUACAUUCUUCAUAUUUGCAAUGAAACUACAUUCCAGAUACAUAAUUCAGUGCUUUCUGAUGAGACAUGAUAUGCAUGCACAUUGUUCCAGUAGUUCAAGCAUUCUUGAGGACCAAUUGGAUGAGUGAAAUUUGCUUCAGCACAGAGUUAACGAUUAUACAAAAGACACAACACAGCACCCUCUCUUCUUGGCUGGUACUUAUCAGAGCAGAAAGCCUUAAUUAAUUCAUGGCUGGCUGAUGUUCUGUUCAGACUGGUUGAGUUUGAAUUAUUGUGCAUUGUUGAAUAUGUAAACAGCUGGCAACCAGACAUGUUUUGAUACACUGGGAAUUAAACACAAGACCCACUGGACUUUUAAAAAUAAAUUACUUUGUGGUGAAAUUGAUUUGAUUCUAUGUAUUUUAGAUUAAGAUAAAAUAGCCAGUAGAUUCAAGUAGAUUGUUACAUAUUGUGAAAUAGACCUCAAUGCAUUUAUGCUGUUCCACAUAGUAGAGAAGAAAAAGACAAAAAAAAAAACAAACCUGCCACAUAACUAUUUUAAAUUCUAGAAGAGAUUUCCAAAAAGCUGCCUAUUGAAGGGGCCCUGCUCUAUGAAUUGCCUCUCUAAAAAUGUAUUGGGCAGUUUUUCCUUCUCCUCUUAGAGUGCUUUGGCUGGAUUUGGGACCAUUCCUGAGGCUGGCAUGAAAAUCCCAUUGAGAUAUUGUAUUGUAUGUGAUAUUGGUCUCCACAAAUAAAGAUGACUUCAAUCUUGAC